AAUCUCCAAUCAUCUUCCCCUUUCCACAAGCAAAAAUGACCACCUCUCCAAGUCUCAUAACUAAAGGUUACAGCUCCAACUACAUCAUCCAGCAAUGCUCUCAGCUACAGCCACCAACUCAUAUUAGUCUUGGUCACAGAAACCGUUAAUUAACCUUUAUUUUUAUUCCCAAAUUCUUUUCCUAUCCCUAAAUUGAAACCACAAGCAAACCAAAAGUCCAUUCAAUUUCACUCUCCCUCAAUUUGAAACCAUUUUUUCCCCCUCAUCUAUCAUCCUAAUACCUGAAACCUGUUGAGGAUUAGCUCCUCUUUUCUGACGCAUUGCUUCAAUUGGAGGUUGUGGGUUGGUAUUUUUGGCUCCAAGAUUGAUGAGUUUGUGCUGCGUUGUGCUAUAAUUGUGAACUUAUAAAAGGAGAGAGAUAGUAACAAGUGGAAAAAAUAAAACUUGUGCACCCAAUUGAACAAAAUAAUUCAAAUAGGCCAAACAGCACAUUUGACUAUUGAAU
Molecule: unclassified non-coding RNA, 505 nt
Filed under: Hevea brasiliensis (rubber tree)
Lineage: Eukaryota; Viridiplantae; Streptophyta; Magnoliopsida; Malpighiales; Euphorbiaceae
Source: RNAcentral